This 27-nucleotide non-coding RNA is filed under the name Homo sapiens (human). Lineage: Eukaryota; Metazoa; Chordata; Mammalia; Primates; Hominidae. The record is from RNAcentral.
GACUGUAAGAAUGUCUGUGCUGUAUGC